This 274-nucleotide ribosomal RNA is filed under the name uncultured bacterium. RNAcentral's name for it is "partial 16S ribosomal RNA". It matches the Rfam family "Bacterial small subunit ribosomal RNA", at positions 523 to 796 of the family's 1533-position model. The record is from RNAcentral.
AUACGUAGGAACCAAGCGUUGUCCGGAAUUACUGGGUGUAAAGGGUGCGCAGGCGGAUUUGUGCGUCAAGGGUUAAAUACCUCGGCUCAACCGAGGAAAUGCCUUUGAUACGGCAAGUCUUGAGUACGAGAGAGGAUGGUAGAAUUCCUGGUGUAGCGGUGAAAUGCGUAGAUAUCAGGAGGAAUACCCGUGGCGAAGGCGGCCAUCUGGCUCGUUACUGACGCUCCGGCACGAAAGCGUGGGGAGCAAACAGGAUUAGAAACCCCAGUAGUCC